CGCACAUUGCACCUUCUGGUAUUCCGGGAGGUAUGCCCGUUCGAGCGUCAUUUCACCACUCAAGUUUAACUUGGUAUUGAGAAUUAGCAUUAGCUAUUCCUUAAUUAUUCGGCUUGAUUAAAUGAUUAAUCUUUACGUAAAAGUUAAGAAUAAUUAUCUGAUUAUCGCCCGUUAAAUAUUAUUCUAAAGGUUGACCUCGAAUCGGGUAGGGAUACCCGCUGAACUUAA
This 228-nucleotide unclassified non-coding RNA is filed under the name Siphula fastigiata. Its description in RNAcentral is "partial contains 5.8S ribosomal RNA, internal transcribed spacer 2, and large subunit ribosomal RNA". Lineage: Eukaryota; Fungi; Ascomycota; Lecanoromycetes; Pertusariales; Icmadophilaceae. The record is from RNAcentral.